Long non-coding RNA from Homo sapiens (human), 1811 nucleotides. NCBI's taxonomy places the organism in Eukaryota, Metazoa, Chordata, Mammalia, Primates, Hominidae. The record is from Ensembl.
GCAUAGGAUGGGGUACUGGCAGCACAGAUGACUUGUAGUUAGAGACCUGCCCACACCUUCCACCUGACCUGCACCUGAGGCUAAGAUGCCAAGUAGUUGGGGAAAUAUGUCAGUGCACUGUUUAGGGCAGAUGUUGGUCCAAGGAGAGGGGUCUGGGUACACCCUCCCAGCACCAGAACGAGGCCCAGGACUGGGGGAGGAUUCUGAGCACAGCCUGUCCAGGGACCAUUCUCCUAGCUCCUAGCUGCCCAACCAACCCCUCAUGGACCCAUGCCAAACUGGAUGAAGAGAGGAGCCUGUAAUGAAUGGAAAAGAACAGUGAUGAACAGAACUGAGUGUUAGAGAUGCUGAAAGAGAUCAAGUUACCUGGUCACUCUGCCUCCUUGCCUAAUAAACAGGGCUUGAGGCUGGUGGCUUUGGCCCCUUAAAGCCCACUCCACUUGCCAUGCUUCAUAUGCCUAGAGCGCUAAACCAAUGUUUGGUUAGUUCGGAGCUCAGUCCCUCUCAUACUGGAUCUCUUCCAGCUCACACUCACUCUCAUCUUCCUGGCCAGGACUCAGCAAUACAUUUAGCCAGUUCUUAACUCAACCUAUUAGUCUUGAAUCUACUGGAGUCCUCGUGCCUCUGCCUGGAGGAAAGUGUGCAGGAGGAAGGAACAUAUUAUUUUCCAGCUCAAAGACGCUCUGGGCAGAGAAGUGACUGGGCCUUCAUAAGGUACUCAAUGGAGGCCAACCUGCAAUCAGGAGGGUGAUGCCUGAUCCUAACCAGUGAGUACUGGGAUGGUCAGGAGCACUCAAAUCUGUGUUAGCUCAGGUACAUCAGAAAGUGGAGCCUGAGGCAAGGGUUAAGUGCAGACCCUUCACUCAGGGGCUGCAAGCCCAGGGCAAUGACAGUGUAGAGAAAAUGGGAAGGGAGACAGGGACCAAUGUGAUAUGCAGGGUCAAAAUGCUGGCCAUCUCCUUGCAACAAGCAACAGAGCACAGCCUGAAGUGCAGCAGACAGGGCUUCCUAGCACUCAGGACUUCUCUAGAAAGCUUGCAAGGCUUGCACAGCACAAAGCCAUCCACAAGAGAAAGAGGAGGGAAAACGUAUCCUCUUAGGUCCCCUCCAGACUCUCAUUUACCACUGGCUAAGUGUCCCCCAUAAGAAGGUAACUCCCCUGCAUUCUCAGGUUGCAUUGGCGUGGUCCUUUAGCAGUCACACAGAAAUCCCAGUCCCAGGGGUCAAUAUGUGACAUCUUAGCUGAGUCCAGGGCAUAAGAGGCAACUCAGUGUAGGUGGAGCCAAGAGUCCCAAACAGACCUGAGAGGCACGCAAGUCUGUGUCCAAUCCAGGAAUCAGUGAUUCACCCCUGGGGUCCUGGCAGUGUAAGAAGAGCCUGGAGGGAAAGCAGCUCCCAUUCCAGAAUGCCUCCCGAGGGUAGCAGCAUUUUCACAUCUGCACUUUUCUCAUGAAAGGGCGAGGAAGAAGAAACAGAACUCUCUGCGGAAACACCCACCAUGCCCCAUCCAGUGUUGUGUGGCUGCCUUGCACCAUUCUCUCCUUUGAGAGAAUUAAAAUUCUCUUUGAAAUUAAAAAUGAUGUUUACUGGAAACUUCUGCUGUUCAGAAGCAAAACAUGUCCAUUGUUGAAAAACCAAAAACCUCCACUGAUGUUGCCAUCCAGAAACAAUCACCGCAGACACUUUGGUGUAUGUAUUUUUAGAACUUCCUCUCUCUCUCUCUUUCAUCCUCUCUAACCAAACUUGGAUAAUAUUAUGUGCACAUAUAUUGAAUUUCUUUUCAAUACAUUAAAUAAGCUUCUACAGCCUCA